UAUUUACGAUUAACUUACAUAUCUCUCUAACAAACUACAAUUUUUGAAAUUUAGGUCGAAGAACGUGAAGCAUUCUAAUGGAGACCAAUCUAUGAUACUUCUUAACUGGGAAGCUUGGUAAGAUUAUUGCCACUAAAGAUUAUCAUUUUAUAGCACUUGGGUGGUGUACCCUGGUGCGCGGACUUGUGGAUUAUGAAAGUGCUACUGAUCAGUACUCAAUGAAUGGAAUAAGACAAAGGCAUAUUGAGUUGUUGAAGAUACUUUCCUCAUGUUUUUCACAUAUAUUACAAAUAAUAUCUAAGGGAAGGUAUAAGCUUCUUACUUGGAUCAUCAUCGACCAAGUUGAGAUGGAUCUUCAUUUUGUAAUAGUUGCUUUAAUAAAUGAUCUGCUUUUAGUUUGCUCA
Cannabis sativa is the source of this 404-nucleotide long non-coding RNA. RefSeq lists it as uncharacterized. The transcript is spliced from 2 exons. The record is from RefSeq and is a predicted model, not a curated record. Lineage: Eukaryota; Viridiplantae; Streptophyta; Magnoliopsida; Rosales; Cannabaceae.